CGGUCUAAUUGGCUCAAUAACACACCUGUUCCCUGAAUCCAGAUAAUUCACUCAAAUUUUUAAAAUACAGGGAACAUUUCCUUCACAAGAUACCUUCUGCAGAAUAUGCUGUCAUGGUCAGGAACAAGGACUGGAGUACAUAGUGUUCUUCAUGUAAACCUUUGAGACGAGAACAUCAGAGCUGAUGUUCCUCAGGCUGCUCUGACCGACCUCUCUGACCUGCAGUCAGCAGAG
Molecule: long non-coding RNA, 234 nt
Organism: Girardinichthys multiradiatus
Lineage: Eukaryota; Metazoa; Chordata; Actinopteri; Cyprinodontiformes; Goodeidae
Exons: 3
Source: RefSeq, a predicted model, not a curated record